GAUGAACGCUGGCGGCGUGCCUAAUACAUGCAAGUCGAGCGAACGGACGAGAAGCUUGCUUCUCUGAUGUUAGCGGCGGACGGGUGAGUAACACGUGGAUAACCUACCUAUAAGACUGGGAUAACUUCGGGAAACCGGAGCUAAUACCGGAUAAUAUUUUGAACCGCAUGGUUCAAAAGUGAAAGACGGUCUUGCUGUCACUUAUAGAUGGAUCCGCGCUGCAUUAGCUAGUUGGUAAGGUAACGGCUUACCAAGGCAACGAUGCAUAGCCGACCUGAGAGGGUGAUCGGCCACACUGGAACUGAGACACGGUCCAGACUCCUACGGGAGGCAGCAGUAGGGAAUCUUCCGCAAUGGGCGAAAGCCUGACGGAGCAACGCCGCGUGAGUGAUGAAGGUCUUCGGAUCGUAAAACUCUGUUAUUAGGGAAGAACAUAUGUGUAAGUAACUGUGCACAUCUUGACGGUACCUAAUCAGAAAGCCACGGCUAACUACGUGCCAGCAGCCGCGGUAAUACGUAGGUGGCAAGCGUUAUCCGGAAUUAUUGGGCGUAAAGCGCGCGUAGGCGGUUUUUUAAGUCUGAUGUGAAAGCCCACGGCUCAACCGUGGAGGGUCAUUGGAAACUGGAAAACUUGAGUGCAGAAGAGGAAAGUGGAAUUCCAUGUGUAGCGGUGAAAUGCGCAGAGAUAUGGAGGAACACCAGUGGCGAAGGCGACUUUCUGGUCUGUAACUGACGCUGAUGUGCGAAAGCGUGGGGAUCAAACAGGAUUAGAUACCCUGGUAGUCCACGCCGUAAACGAUGAGUGCUAAGUGUUAGGGGGUUUCCGCCCCUUAGUGCUGCAGCUAACGCAUUAAGCACUCCGCCUGGGGAGUACGACCGCAAGGUUGAAACUCAAAGGAAUUGACGGGGACCCGCACAAGCGGUGGAGCAUGUGGUUUAAUUCGAAGCAACGCGAAGAACCUUACCAAAUCUUGACAUCCUUUGACAACUCUAGAGAUAGAGCCUUCCCCUUCGGGGGACAAAGUGACAGGUGGUGCAUGGUUGUCGUCAGCUCGUGUCGUGAGAUGUUGGGUUAAGUCCCGCAACGAGCGCAACCCUUAAGCUUAGUUGCCAUCAUUAAGUUGGGCACUCUAAGUUGACUGCCGGUGACAAACCGGAGGAAGGUGGGGAUGACGUCAAAUCAUCAUGCCCCUUAUGAUUAGGGCUACACACGUGCUACAAUGGACAAUACAAAGGGCAGCGAAACCGCGAGGUCAAGCAAAUCCCAUAAAGUUGUUCUCAGUUCGGAUUGUAGUCUGCAACUCGACUACAUGAAGCUGGAAUCGCUAGUAAUCGUAGAUCAGCAUGCUACGGUGAAUACGUUCCCGGGUCU
This 1372-nucleotide ribosomal RNA is filed under the name uncultured bacterium. Its description in RNAcentral is "bacterial SSU rRNA". It matches the Rfam family "Bacterial small subunit ribosomal RNA", at positions 28 to 1381 of the family's 1533-position model. The record is from RNAcentral.